CCUACGGGCGGCUGCAGUGGGGAAUAUUGGACAAUGGGCGAAAGCCUGAUCCAGCCAUGCCGCGUGUGUGAAGAAGGCCUUUGGGUUGUAAAGCACUUUCAGUGGGGAAGAAAGCCUUGGGGCUAAUACCCUCGAGGAAGGACAUCACCCACAGAAGAAGCACCGGCUAACUCCGUGCCAGCAGCCGCGGUAAUACGGAGGGUGCGAGCGUUAAUCGGAAUUACUGGGCGUAAAGCGCGCGUAGGCGGUCUGAUAAGCCGGUUGUGAAAGCCCCGGGCUCAACCUGGGAACGGCAUCCGGAACUGUCAGGCUAGAGUGCAGGAGAGGAAGGUAGAAUUCCCGGUGUAGCGGUGAAAUGCGUAGAGAUCGGGAGGAAUACCAGUGGCGAAGGCGGCCUUCUGGACUGACACUGACGCUGAGGUGCGAAAGCGUGGGUAGCAAACAGGAUUAGAUACCCCAGUAGUC
This 465-nucleotide ribosomal RNA is filed under the name Vreelandella stevensii. Its description in RNAcentral is "partial 16S ribosomal RNA". It matches the Rfam family "Bacterial small subunit ribosomal RNA", at positions 338 to 795 of the family's 1533-position model. Lineage: Bacteria; Pseudomonadati; Pseudomonadota; Gammaproteobacteria; Oceanospirillales; Halomonadaceae. The record is from RNAcentral.